Molecule: ribosomal RNA, 447 nt
Filed under: uncultured bacterium
Lineage: Bacteria
Description: bacterial SSU rRNA
Rfam family: Bacterial small subunit ribosomal RNA
Source: RNAcentral
UGGGGAAUAUUGGACAAUGGGCGAAAGCCUGACCCAGCAACGCCGCGUGAAGGAUGAAGUAUUUCGGUAUGUAAACUUCGAAAGAAUGGGAAGAAUAAAUGACGGUACCAUUUAUAAGCUCCGGCUAACUACGUGCCAGCAGCCGCGGUAAUACGUAGGGAGCAAGCGUUGUUCGGAUUUACUGGGCGUAAAGGGCGCGUAGGCGGCGCGGUAAGUCACUUGUGAAAUCUCUGAGCUUAACUCAGAACGGCCAAGUGAUACUGCAGUGCUAGAGUGCAGAAGGGGCAAUCGGAAUUCUUGGUGUAGCGGUGAAAUGCGUAGAUAUCAAGAGGAACACCUGAGGUGAAGACGGGUUGCUGGGCUGACACUGACGCUGAGGCGCGAAAGCCAGGGGAGCAAACGGGAUUAGAUACCCCCGUAGUCCCUGAGCGGGCUGGCAAGGCGCAU